AACAAAUACAGAAGCACUCGAUUUGAGUCCUGAAACCCUGGGGUGACCACCGUGAACAAAUACAGACUGCAAAAAGGCAGUCUUGAUGGUACUAGGAUGAAUGCAAAUAAAGACUAACCACCUGACUUCAGCGGUCCAGUCUCUUGUGGGAAGCAGGUGUUUGUUACCCCAAAUACGGAUGAAGAGUGACGAAGAGGAUGAUGACUUUUUUCUCAAACAUCUGCUGAAGAUCUUGACAGGCUGGAGACAAAAUUACAGACUGAGGGUUUAUACAAAGAAUCUUACUCAGCCAAUAUUAAAGAUAAGAUAUUUUUACAAAAUGUUAUUUUCAUUGUUUAGGAUGAUUUUAUGUAGAAAACAGUACAUCACAAAAAAGACUUUAGAUGUGUUUUCACAGGCAGAGCCUUACACACACACUAACCACAAUUAUAAACGCAACACUAACACAGAUUUAGACAGAUUUGUGUAUAAUAUUUGAGAGAAAUAGGCCUUUUGGGGACAUAGAAAAUAUUUAAGUUCAGCUCAUGAAAUGAAAAAUGGGGGCAAAAACAAAUAUUAACAAGUGCAAUACAAAUAUCAACCAUAAUACUGAUCGUUUUAAAAAAGUAAGCCACUAUAUCUUUCUAGAAUCUUACACAAGACUCAGUUACAUGAAUGAUCAAAAUAAAUUAACGUCAGACAGGUGGGCGAAAUAUCAAUAUUAAAGCAUGAUUAACUGUUAUCAACCCAAUCUCGAGGUAUUAUUUAAAUGAUCCCACAGCAAACAGUUUAUUAUUUAAAUGCAUUAUUACUACAUACCUUAAGCAAAUGUUCCACGCCUUUCUUCUUCUUGGCAUUGCGAGGUCAAGCGGAUGUUGUUAUGUAGAAUCAUGACCUUGACGUAAAGACGCACAUCCGUAAUUUAUUUAACAAUGACAACGCUUUCAGGUAAUUUUAUCUUCUAGAUCCUAAUUAACGCUAUGAAGAAAGAACAGCCUUUCACGAUUAUUUCCUGGUAAUUUUCUGUAAUGUUUUAUUUUAGAAUGGAGAUUAAUAAAGCAG
Molecule: non-coding RNA, 1041 nt
Organism: Paramisgurnus dabryanus
Lineage: Eukaryota; Metazoa; Chordata; Actinopteri; Cypriniformes; Cobitidae
Source: RefSeq, a predicted model, not a curated record